Molecule: transfer RNA, 70 nt
Filed under: human gut metagenome
Also listed under: 2 other names
Rfam family: tRNA
About the family: Transfer RNA (tRNA) molecules are approximately 80 nucleotides in length. Their secondary structure includes four short double-helical elements and three loops (D, anti-codon, and T loops).
Source: RNAcentral
GAGCGUAGCUCAGUUGGUUAGAGCGCUUGCCUGUCACGCAAGAGGUCGCGAGUUCGAGCCUCGUCGUUCC